Non-coding RNA from Oryza glaberrima (African rice), 205 nucleotides. The record is from Rfam. Lineage: Eukaryota; Viridiplantae; Streptophyta; Magnoliopsida; Poales; Poaceae.
AAAGACUUAAUUCCUAAGUUUCUAUCUAUAACAUUUGACUAUCCAUUUUAUAUAAAUUUUUUUUAUAAUUAGUAUUUUUAUUGUUGUUAGAUGAUAAAACAUGAAUAAUACUUUACGUGUGGCUAAUCUUUUAAAUUUUUUCAUAAUUUUUUUAAAUAAGACGGACGGUCAAAUGUUGGACACGGAAAUCAGGAAUUGAGUUAUU